GCUCCAAUAGCGUAUAUUAAAGUUGUUUGCAGUUAAAACGCUCGUAGUCUGAGAUGGGUGGGGCGGGGGUGGUGGGCGACGAAAAGUUGCGUGCAGCUGCUGCUCCAUUUUUGUGUAGAAUAUGCACGAGUUACUUUGAGGAAAUUAGGGUGUUCAAAGCAGGCGUUUGCUUGGAUACUGCAGCAUGGAAUAACGGAAUA
This 200-nucleotide ribosomal RNA is filed under the name uncultured eukaryote. Its description in RNAcentral is "partial 18S ribosomal RNA". It matches the Rfam family "Eukaryotic small subunit ribosomal RNA", at positions 588 to 824 of the family's 1831-position model. The record is from RNAcentral.